Pan paniscus (pygmy chimpanzee) is the source of this 320-nucleotide long non-coding RNA. NCBI's taxonomy places the organism in Eukaryota, Metazoa, Chordata, Mammalia, Primates, Hominidae. The record is from Ensembl.
CUUGAGUCAAUGACCCAAUAGAGAAGAUCAUCACUCAUUUAAGUGUGUAACUACUAGAGACAGAAAUCUCAGACAAAGCAAACAAAGCACAUGCAUGGCAAAAAGAUUGGCCUUUCAUUUCAGCCUGGGCUUGAAAUAUCAAACACAUUGCCAUAUCAAACACAUUUCUGUGCCAGGACCAGUCACACUACUACCACCCCACCCCCAACAAACACACACACAGAUACACACUUCUAUAUAUAUAUAUACUAUAUAUAAAUAUAUAUAUAUUUACUGUCUAUUUCCAAGUUAUAUUGGAAUAGUCUCAUGCCUAAAUCAAU